Molecule: transfer RNA, 69 nt
Filed under: Ictidomys tridecemlineatus (thirteen-lined ground squirrel)
Lineage: Eukaryota; Metazoa; Chordata; Mammalia; Rodentia; Sciuridae
Description: Spermophilus tridecemlineatus (thirteen-lined ground squirrel) tRNA
Rfam family: tRNA
About the family: Transfer RNA (tRNA) molecules are approximately 80 nucleotides in length. Their secondary structure includes four short double-helical elements and three loops (D, anti-codon, and T loops).
Source: Rfam by way of RNAcentral
GGGGAUGUGGCUCAAGCAGUAGAGCGCUCGCCUGGCAUGCGUGCGGGCGGGGUUCGAUCCUCAGCACCA